AACACUAUCAAAGUUAUCAUCUACAUUGGAACCGGAGAAGUCCACGUGUACUUCCCCUCUGAGAAGGUACGCCACUACUUUAAUGAUUCUAACUAUAUAGUUGAAGAUUCUAAGCAGGUCAGGACAAGAAGAAGACAACGCAACCGCAACCAGAGGAGGCAGAUCAUCAAGGACGGAUGGGUAGACUACGAAGGAGAUAUGAUAAGGUCUGAACACAUACGGCUUGAACAGAACUGUCCUGAGGAGACCGUAGCACCGAGUCAGGUGUGGAGAAAGAAGAUAGUUAUACACGACGAAGAGGCGCCGCCGGAAUCACCGACUAUGCCACCUAGCGAAUCCCAGGACGACUAAGAAAACAGAGAGUCCCGUUCGGAGGACUUAAAAAUACCGAACGCCUUGCCAAGAGGUAAACUUGGUAGUUAUCCUUUUCCAUUCAAUAGUUUGCUUAGUUAAUCAGGUUCAUCUUGAAAAGAAAAUAAAUGUUAAAAAACUGUAAGCCCCAUGUGAGU
Molecule: long non-coding RNA, 509 nt
Filed under: Sorghum bicolor (sorghum)
Lineage: Eukaryota; Viridiplantae; Streptophyta; Magnoliopsida; Poales; Poaceae
Description: long non-coding RNA (SBIC_LNC008537)
Source: RNAcentral